RNAcentral lists this transfer RNA (26 nucleotides) under Pothos scandens. Its description in RNAcentral is "partial tRNA-Leu". The record is from RNAcentral. Lineage: Eukaryota; Viridiplantae; Streptophyta; Magnoliopsida; Alismatales; Araceae.
GCUUAAAAUCCGUCGACUUUAGAAAC